AUUGAACGCUGGCGGCGUGCCUAACACAUGCAAGUCGAGCGGUAACAGGCGUAGCAAUACGUGCUGACGAGCGGCGAACGGGUGAGCAAUGCUUCGGAAUCUGCCCAAUGAUGGGGAAUAACCAGUCGAAAGAUUGGCUAAUACCGCAUAAGCCCUUCGGGGAAAGCGGGGUCGCAAGACCUCGCGUCGAUGGAUGAGCCGAAGUCGGAUUAGCUAGUUGGUAGGGUAACGGCCUACCAAGGCGACGAUCCGUAGCUGGUCUGAGAGGAC
RNAcentral lists this ribosomal RNA (270 nucleotides) under uncultured bacterium. Its description in RNAcentral is "partial 16S ribosomal RNA". It matches the Rfam family "Bacterial small subunit ribosomal RNA", at positions 30 to 301 of the family's 1533-position model. The record is from RNAcentral.